UGAUUACUGCUCAGUAACACGUGGACAACCUACCCUUGGGUCGGGGAUAAACCCGGGAAACUGGGUAUAAUACCCGAUAGUCCUCGAAUGCUGGAAUGCAUCGAGUUCUAAAACUCCGGUGCCCAAGGAUGGGUCUGCGGCCUAUCAGGUAGUAGUGGGUGUAGCGUACCUACUAGCCUACGACGGGUACGGGUUGUGAGAGCAAGAGCCCGGAGAUGGAUUCUGAGACACGAAUCCAGGCCCUACGGGGUGCAGCAGGCGCGAAAACUUUACAAUGCCGGCAACGGCGAUAAGGGAACUUCGAGUGCCAGGUUACAAAUCUGGCUGUCGUGAUGCCUAAAAAGCAUUGCAUAGCAAGGGCCGGGCAAGACCGGUGCCAGCCGCCGCGGUAACACCGGCGGCUCGAGUGGUAACCGUUAUUAUUGGGUCUAAAGGGUCUGUAGCCGGCCGGAUAAGUCUCUUGGGAAAUCUGGCAGCUUAACUGUCAGGCUUUCAGGAGAUACUGUCUGGCUCGAGGCCGGGAGAGGUGAGAGGUACUUCAGGGGUAGGGGUGAAAUCUUGUAAUCCUUGAAGGACCACCAGUGGCGUAGGCGUCUCACCAGAACGGACCUGACGGCAAGGGACGAAAGCUAGGGGCACGAACCGGAUUAGAUACCCGGGUAGUCCUAGCCGUAAACGAUACUCGCUAGGUGUCGGCCACGGUGCGACCGUGGUCGGUGCCGUAGGGAAGCCGUGAAGCGAGCCACCUGGGAAGUACGGCCGCAAGGCUGAAACUUAAAGGAAUUGGCGGGGGAGCACA
Molecule: ribosomal RNA, 799 nt
Filed under: uncultured archaeon
Lineage: Archaea
Description: bacterial SSU rRNA
Rfam family: Archaeal small subunit ribosomal RNA
Source: RNAcentral